RNAcentral lists this ribosomal RNA (442 nucleotides) under uncultured bacterium. RNAcentral describes it as "partial 16S ribosomal RNA". It matches the Rfam family "Bacterial small subunit ribosomal RNA", at positions 338 to 795 of the family's 1533-position model. The record is from RNAcentral.
CCUACGGGAGGCAGCAGUGGGGAAUAUUGGGCAAUGGACGCAAGUCUGACCCAGCAACGCCGCGUGAAGGAAGAAGGCUUUCGGGUUGUUAACUUCUUUUAAGGGGGAAGAGCAGAAGACGGUACCCCUUGAAUAAGCCACGGCUAACUACGUGCCAGCAGCCGCGGUCAUACGUAGGUGGCAAGCGUUGUCCGGAUUUACUGGGGGUAAAGGGCGUGCAGCCGGCGAGACAAGUCAGAGGUGAAAUCCACGGGCUCAAACCGUGAACUGCAUUUGAAACUGUUUCCCUUGAGUGUCGGAGAGGUAAUCGGAAUUCGUGGUGUAGCGGUGAAAUGCGUAGAUAUAAGGAAGAACACCAGUGGCGAAGGCGGAUUACUGGACGAUAACUGACGGUGAGGCGCGAAAGCGUGGGGAGCAAACAGGAUUAGAUACCCGUGUAGUC